CGACGGUACAGGUCUUCGGAUGCUGACGAGUGGCGGACGGGUAAGUAAUGCGUAGGAAUCUGUCUUUGAGUGGGGGACAACCCAGGGAAACUUGGGCUAAUACCGCAUAGCCCUGAGGGGGAAAGCGGGGGAUCUUCGGACCUCGCGCUGGAAGAGGAGCCUACGUCUGAUUAGCUAGUUGGUAGGGUAAGGGCCUACCAAGGCGACGAUCGGUAGCUGGUCUGAGAGGACGACCAGCCACACUGGGACUGAGACACGGCCCAGACUCCUACGGGAGGCAGCAGUGGGGAAUUUUUCGCAAUGGGGGCAACCCUGACGAAGCAAUGCCGCGUGAAUGAAGAAGGCCUUCGGGUUGUAAAGUUCUUUCGUGGAGGACGAAAAGGUGGGUGCUAAUAUCGCCUGCUGUUGACGUGAAUCCAAGAAGAAGCACCGGCUAACUCCGUGCCAGCCGCCGCGGUAAUAC
This 463-nucleotide ribosomal RNA is filed under the name uncultured Acidithiobacillus sp. Its description in RNAcentral is "bacterial SSU rRNA". It matches the Rfam family "Bacterial small subunit ribosomal RNA", at positions 64 to 526 of the family's 1533-position model. Lineage: Bacteria; Pseudomonadati; Pseudomonadota; Acidithiobacillia; Acidithiobacillales; Acidithiobacillaceae. The record is from RNAcentral.